This is a non-coding RNA of Vicugna pacos (alpaca), 413 nucleotides long. NCBI's taxonomy places the organism in Eukaryota, Metazoa, Chordata, Mammalia, Artiodactyla, Camelidae. The record is from RefSeq and is a predicted model, not a curated record.
CUGCCCCCACAAGAAUGCUGUCAACUGAUCCAGGAAUUUGCGUGGUGUGCCUUUCCAGGUGCCCUCACCUCAGUGCAUCCAUCCAGACACAGCACUGACCCUGGCCGUGCUCAGAAAUGCCUCAGCCCUGAAGACACAACUGACAAAUGGAAGGGAGCCGCGCCCUGUUACAGCGGGUGCUCUCACUUUGUGGGUCCUUAUGUAACUGCGCGGUGUUAUUCAGGAUCGCCCUUUCUACACUGUGUGACGGUGCUGCGGUGUCUCCUAGUUAUUUGUUUCUGAUCUGAGAAGCAGGAGGAAGGAACUCAGGGAGAGAUCCAGGAAGACACCUGACUGUGUUAAGAGACGACAGUCACAGCGACACGGGGAGCAAAGACACUUGCAGCAAAGUAAAAUAACUUCACAACUAUUGC